AGAACGAACGCUGGCGGCAUGCCUAACACAUGCAAGUCGAACGCUUCCGGGGCUUCGGUCGCGGAGGAGUGGCGCACGGGUGAGUAGCGCGUGGGAACCUGCCCUGUUGUGGGGGAUAACCGAGGGAAACUUCGGCUAAUACCGCAUACGCCCCGGGACUUGGUCUUCGGAUUAGGUCUGGGGGGAAAGAUUGAUCGCAGCAGGAGGGGCCCGCGUCGGAUUAGCUGGUUGGUGGGGUAACGGCUCACCAAGGCGAUGAUCCGUAGC
Molecule: ribosomal RNA, 267 nt
Filed under: uncultured bacterium
Lineage: Bacteria
Description: partial small subunit ribosomal RNA
Rfam family: Bacterial small subunit ribosomal RNA
Source: RNAcentral